RNAcentral lists this ribosomal RNA (520 nucleotides) under Fusarium sp. Am11. Its description in RNAcentral is "eukaryotic LSU rRNA". The stretch from base 140 to 293 matches the Rfam family "5.8S ribosomal RNA". Lineage: Eukaryota; Fungi; Ascomycota; Sordariomycetes; Hypocreales; Nectriaceae. The record is from RNAcentral.
UACACUCCCAACCCCUGUGAACAUACCAAUUGUUGCCUCGGCGGAUCAGCCCGCUCCCGGUAAAACGGGACGGCCCGCCAGAGGACCCCUAAACUCUGUUUCUAUAUGUAACUUCUGAGUAAAACCAUAAAUAAAUCAAAACUUUCAACAACGGAUCUCUUGGUUCUGGCAUCGAUGAAGAACGCAGCAAAAUGCGAUAAGUAAUGUGAAUUGCAGAAUUCAGUGAAUCAUCGAAUCUUUGAACGCACAUUGCGCCCGCCAGUAUUCUGGCGGGCAUGCCUGUUCGAGCGUCAUUUCAACCCUCAAGCCCCCGGGUUUGGUGUUGGGGAUCGGCGAGCCCUUGCGGCAAGCCGGCCCCGAAAUCUAGUGGCGGUCUCGCUGCAGCUUCCAUUGCGUAGUAGUAAAACCCUCGCAACUGGUACGCGGCGCGGCCAAGCCGUUAAACCCCCAACUUCUGAAUGUUGACCUCGGAUCAGGUAGGAAUACCCGCUGAACUUAAGCAUAUCAAAAGCCGGAGGAA